GACGAACGCUGGCGGCGUGCCUAAUACAUGCAAGUCGAACGCUUUUUCUUUCACCGGAGCUUGCUCCACCGAAAGAAAAAGAGUGGCGAACGGGUGAGUAACACGUGGGUAACCUGCCCAUCAGAAGGGGAUAACACUUGGAGACAGGUGCUAAUACCGUAUAACACUAUUUUCCGCAUGGAAGAAAGUUGAAAGGCGCUUUUGCGUCACUGAUGGAUGGACCCGCGGUGCAUUAGCUAGUUGGUGAGGUAACGGCUCACCAAGGCAACGAUGCAUAGCCGACCUGAGAGGGUGAUCGGCCACACUGGGACUGAGACACGGCCCAGACUCCUACGGGAGGCAGCAGUAGGGAAUCUUCGGCAAUGGACGAAAGUCUGACCGAGCAACGCCGCGUGAGUGAAGAAGGUUUUCGGAUCGUAAAACUCUGUUGUUAGAGAAGAAUAAGGAUGAGAGUAGAACGUUCAUCCCUUGACGGUAUCUAACCAGAAAGCCACGGCUAACUACGUGCCAGCCGCCGCCGUAA
This 523-nucleotide ribosomal RNA is filed under the name uncultured bacterium. RNAcentral's name for it is "partial 16S ribosomal RNA". It matches the Rfam family "Bacterial small subunit ribosomal RNA", at positions 28 to 523 of the family's 1533-position model. The record is from RNAcentral.